Molecule: RNA transcript, 2542 nt
Organism: Canis lupus familiaris (dog)
Lineage: Eukaryota; Metazoa; Chordata; Mammalia; Carnivora; Canidae
Gene: MOK
Gene name: MOK protein kinase
Exons: 13
Source: RefSeq, a predicted model, not a curated record
GCCGCUCCGGGGCGCGACGGUUGCUAGGGCGACAGGGAUACAACAUGGCGGCCGGAUCCUAACGCUUCCUGUCCGGGGUUAGGGACCCUGCCUUAGAGGAGUGGAAGUCAGGGUCAGGGGGUCGUCCUUUCUGCCCCUUUCUUCUCGGUCCAGUUUCGGCGAGGGCUUGUCGUCGGCUUCCGCCUCCAGGAUGAAGAGUGAGCGAGGCCGGGAGGGGCUGGAGGGGCCGAGGCGGCCGCUGGGCGAUUCCGGGGCCGCGGCGGACUAUAAAGCCAUUGGCAAAAUAGGAGAGGGAACGUUUUCUGAAGUUAUGAAGAUGCAGAGCCUGAGAGACGGAAGCUACUAUGCAUGCAAACAGAUGAAGCAGCACUUUGAAAGUAUUGAGCAAGUGAACAAUCUGCGGGAGAUACAAGCACUGAGGCGCCUGAAUCCACACCCAAACAUUCUUACGUUGCAUGAAGUGGUUUUUGACAGAAAAUCUGGUUCUCUUGCACUAAUAUGUGAACUUAUGGACAUGAAUAUUUAUGAGCUAAUACAAGGGAGAAGACACCCAUUAUCAGAAAAAAAAAUUACGCACUAUAUGUACCAGUUAUGUAAAUCCCUUGAUCAUAUGCACAGAAAUGGAAUAUUUCACAGAGAUGUAAAGCCAGAAAAUAUAUUAAUAAAGCAGGAUGUCCUGAAACUAGGGGACUUUGGAUCCUGCCGGAGCAUCUAUUCCAAGCAGCCAUACACAGAGUAUAUUUCCACCCGCUGGUACCGUGCCCCAGAGUGUCUCCUCACUGACGGGUUCUACACCUACAAAAUGGACCUGUGGAGCGCUGGCUGUGUGUUCUACGAGAUCACCAGUUUGCAACCCCUCUUCCCCGGAGCCAAUGAGCUGGACCAGAUCUCAAAAAUCCACGAUGUCAUUGGCACACCUGCCGAGAAGACCCUCACCAAGUUCAAACAGUCGAGAGCUAUGAGUUUUGAUUUUCCUUUUAAAAAGGGAUCAGGAAUACCUCUACUGACAGCCAGCUGGUCCUCGCAAUGCCUCUCCCUCCUGCACGCCAUGGUGGCCUAUGAUCCUGAUGAGAGAAUCACCGCCCACCAGGCCCUGCAGCAUCCCUACUUCCACGAGCAGAGGGCAGCGGAGAAGCAGGCUGUGGCCAGCCACAGGAAAGCUUUCUUUCCAGAGCGCCCCGUGGCACCGGAACUACUCAGGAACGGCUGGCAAAUUUCAAAGGAGGACAGAAAGCAGAAACAGUCCCUAAGGCCAGGAGAGGACCAUCCCAAGAGACCCGGACCGGCCUGCCCCACGGAACUGCCCAGACUGACGCUGUCAGGAGUGACCAAGCUGUCCUCAUACUCCAGCCCCGCGCUGCCCUCCGCGUGGGGCCCCGGGGCCCACAGGAAAGCCCCGGCGCUGAGGCCCCUGAAGUGUGUGGGCGCCAACCAGAAGACAGACGCCCAGAAGGACAUUAAGCCCAAACAGUACCACCUGCCCACGAUAGAGAGGAAAGGCGGAGGCUACUGAGCAGCACGGGCUCACCUGCGCGGAGCACGACCAGGUGCAGCUGGGCCGGGCCGUGACGCCGCCCGCCUCGGACGGAGGGCUCCGGGGACAGGCCUGGCGCCGUCCCCCCGAGGCCGCUGCCCCACAGGCCAGCCGUACCCACUCAGCCCGGAGCCCCCAGCCUGGGGCUCUUUGCACCCCGAGGGCAGCUGCACUGUUGUGUGAGCAUAUUUGGGGAAUUUAUUUUGUUGGGAAGGCUUUGGUACAGCUUAAUUUUGUGGCACAUGGAAAGCCAGUAAGGACCCAGCACAGGCUCGGCCCGGGUGCCCCCGGGAGCUGCGGCCGGACGAGGCUGCCAAGCGCGAGGUGAGUCGGAGCGCCGGGCUUCCCCGAGGCCACGUCGCUUAGCUCUGGAGGCCCAGCCUUGCCUGUGAGUAGAGAUGCUACUUCCGAUGGCGCUUUGCUUGGCUUCCGGGGUGCCGGCAGCAGGUUGGACACAGAAGGGAACCUGCCUCUCCGUGGGGGUGGGGGGUGGGGUGCCGCAGAGGAGCAGUGGUCCUGGGCCGCCUGUGGGCGGGGGCACGACCCUCCUGAGCCCUUUUGUCUUGGGAUGUAACAUAAUGACACCUUCUUUUUCUCGUCUUCACAAACUUACAAUGGUUAGAAGAAGCAAAUUUCCCAGGUUAGUCUUCGGCCUCUUGUUCCCUCUUUUAAGACAAAUCUGUGACAGUCUUCCAUGUGCUCUCUGGUGGCCACGACCUCUGCACCCACCUGCCACCUGGGGGCAGAUUCAAGACCAGACACCAGGCUAUGGGGAUGUUCAGAACUGGGUGCACACAUGUGGAAGGGAUGGAAAGAGCUUCCUCUGAACUGGUUUAACACGCUGGUGGGGCCUUCAGGAUGCCCGAUGGGGAAGGGGCAUGGGGGACAGGCAGGGUGCCAUUCAGCCUCUGCAGGGGAUCUGGGAGUUCCAGGUCCCAUGGGAGGAGGCCAGAGCCAGGUGGGGCUGUGGCCCUGCAGCAGGAAGGCCGGGGAGACAGGAGCGGGUGC